UUGGAGGGCAAGUCUGGUGCCAGCAGCCGCGGUAAUUCCAGCUCCAAUAGCGUAUAUUAAAGUUGUUGCAGUUAAAAAGCUCGUAGUUGAAUUUCGGGAUUAGUACGCUGGUCGUGCCUUCGGUACGUACUGGUGUUACUGAUUUCUACCUUCUGACGAACCAUCAUGUCAUUAGUUUGGUGUGGUGGGGAAUCAGGACUGUUACUUUGAAAAAAUUAGAGUGUUUAAAGCAGGCUCGCGCUUGAAUACAUUAGCAUGGAAUAAUGAAAUAGGACGUUGAUCCUAUUUUGUUGGUUUCUAGGAUCGACGUAAUGAUUAAUAGGGAUAGUUGGGGGCAUUAGUAUUCAAUUGUCAGAGGUGAAAUUCUUGGAUUUAUUGAAGACUAACUACUGCGAAAGCAUUUGCCAAGGAUGUUUUCAUUAAUCAAGAACGAAAGUUAGGGGAUCGAAGACGAUCAGAUACCGUCGUAGUCUUAACCAUAAACUAUGCCGACUAGGGAUCGGAUGAAGUUAAUUUUUUAAUGACUCAUUCGGCGCCUUACGGGAAAC
Molecule: ribosomal RNA, 548 nt
Filed under: uncultured Glomeromycotina
Lineage: Eukaryota; Fungi; Glomeromycota
Description: SSU rRNA
Rfam family: Eukaryotic small subunit ribosomal RNA
Source: RNAcentral